AAAACUGAAGCCCAGAAAGACACAAUGUGUGUAUGAGGUCACGUAACCAGUGAUGGAGCCAACAUUUAUAUCCAGGAGAAGAGUGAAGGUCCUGCCCACCUGCCAAUGAUGGCUGCCUAAGGCACAUGCUGUUAAGGUGAGAAGCCUGGGGCCACAAGCUGGUGGAGCUGGAACCAGAACCAGG
Molecule: long non-coding RNA, 184 nt
Organism: Pteropus alecto (black flying fox)
Lineage: Eukaryota; Metazoa; Chordata; Mammalia; Chiroptera; Pteropodidae
Exons: 3
Source: RefSeq, a predicted model, not a curated record